UGAGGACCAGUAGAAUGCUGUAG
Molecule: microRNA, 23 nt
Filed under: Caenorhabditis briggsae
Lineage: Eukaryota; Metazoa; Nematoda; Chromadorea; Rhabditida; Rhabditidae
Description: cbr-miR-7579
Source: miRBase by way of RNAcentral